GACGAACGCUGGCGGCGUGCUUAACACAUGCAAGUCGAACGGAAAGGCCCUGAUUUUGUUGUGUGCUCGUGUGGCGAGCAGGUGUGUAUCACGUGUGUAAACUGUCCUUGACUUUGGGAUAACUUUAGGGAGCUGGGUCUCUUAUAGCGUAUGAGCUUCUGUUGCAUGGUUGGGGUUGGAGAGUUUCGCCGGUUCGGGAUGGAAUCGAGGUUUUUCAGCUUGUUGGUGGGUAAGUGGCUUAAUAAGGCUUUGACGGGUAGCCGGCCUGAGAGGGUGACCGGCCACAGUGGGACUGAGGAGCGGCCCAGACUGCUUCGGGAGGCAGCAGUGGGGAAUAUUGCACAAUGGGCGGAAGCCUGAUGCAGCAACGCCGCGUGCGAGAUGACGGCCUUAAGGUUGUAAACCGCUUGCGCCUGUGAAGAAGCGUGAGUGACGGUAAUGGAUAAAGAAGCAACGGCUAACUACGUG
RNAcentral lists this ribosomal RNA (468 nucleotides) under uncultured bacterium. RNAcentral describes it as "partial 16S ribosomal RNA". It matches the Rfam family "Bacterial small subunit ribosomal RNA", at positions 28 to 507 of the family's 1533-position model. The record is from RNAcentral.